UUUGCAAAGUCCAGAUUUUUCUCCCAACCACAGGUUGGGUAGAAUGGGAUCAGCAAAUAAGAACUCUCAAUAAGGAGAGAGGAAGGGACUUCCCAGGACACAAGGCAGAGGAAGCGGAGUGCCACCCCAGAGUCUUGGAGACACCCGCUGUAUCCUUUCUCAUGAAGGAAGGCUGCUGUCUGGAAUGUUGUGUGUCCUGGUCCCAGCAUAAAGGAAAUUAAGGCAUUUCUAAUUAAGUAUCACAGCAGUCACAGCUCAGACCAGCAUGGGUUGCACACGUAAGUGCCCAGUGGACUCCACAGAAGCCCCGGAGAAGAAGUGAACGGUGGAAGGUGCAGAAUGAGGUAAAGCCAUGUCAGGUGACCUGCUUCAAAUUAGUUCAGAAUGGCUUUCCACUGCACCAACUGGGAUCAGAGGUAACUGGAGAUGAAUGUCUGUAACUUGGAAAAAAAAGAAACCUGACUAAUAUACAAGAUCAAAAAGGUCCUCAUGGGAAUGGAAAGGAAAAAACUAACAAGAAGUAUUGUGAAACUGUGUGAUGUGAGGAAGAGGGAAAGGUCAAGAGUCCUUUUGAGGUUUGGCUACCUGGUGACAAAGCAUAAAGCUUUUACUGAAAAGGUGGAAGAAGUUGCUAUUUUCAGUAGAGUUGGAAGAGAAAGUUUCCAAGGCUCCCAGGAGUCCAGAGCACUAGCCAGCUUCCAGAGGUAGAAUCUACAACGUGACUUGUGUCUGCUAACCCCUUCAUCCUCUUCCAGAAUCGCAAACUCAUGAAAGGGCUCAAGGUCUGAUUGGAAUAGGCCUUUUGGACUCUGGCCUUUAUCCUCUGUUAUGGUUUAGAUAUGAGAUAUUCCCCAAAAGCUCAUGUGUAAGACAAUGCAAAAAAGUUUAGAAGUGAAAUGACUGAGUUAUGAGAGUUAUAACCUAAUCAGUGCACAAAUCCUCUAAUAUGGACUAAAUGGGUGGUAACUAUAGACAGGUGGAGAAUUGUUGGAGGAAGUGGGUCACUGGGGACAUGCCUUUGGGGUUUAUAUUUUGUCCUAGGUGAGCAGAGCUCUCUCUGCUUCCUGAUUGACAUGUCAUGAGCUGCUUCCAUCCUCAGUGCCCUUCCACCAUGCUGUUCUGGGUCACCGUAGGCCUAGAGCUAUGGAAUCAGUCAUCUAUGGAUUGAGACCUUUAAAACUAUGAGCCCUAAAUAAACUUUUCCUUCUUUACGUUGUUAUUGUCAGGUCUUUUUGUCACAGUGACAAAAAAGCUGACUAAAAUAUCUCCCCAAUUCACUCACUAACCUAAUACGAAUUUUCUUUCCAAAAACAAUUUAUUCAGUAAUAUGUUCAUUCAUUCACUUAAGACAUACUUGGUGAGUGCUUACUAUAUGUCAGUUACAGUGGCAGGUGCUAAGGAUACUGUGAUAAGAAAAUAAACAUGGUCCUCUACCUUCAAGGAGUUUAUAAUAUAGUGGAGAAAACAGAUGCAGGAAGGAUUUGUCACACAAAUGAAUAUAAAUAGAAAUAGUCUGAAGUUAUGUGAAGAAAAUGGAGUUUCUUAAGAGGUGUCUUGGGGAAUAUAAUUUAGAUGGAGGAGAGUUAGGAGGAUUACUAGGGAACUUUUCUGGGUAGCCAAGUAAGAGGUGGGCACUGAAAUGAAAAAGAAAAGUAGAAAACCAGAGAAGUUGGUCUUAUCCACCCUUAAGAAACAAAUGAUUCACCCAUCAGGAAUGUGAGACCGGGAGGCUUCAAAGUGAUUUCUUUGAAGUGCAGCCACACAAGCCCUUAGAGCAGAGCUUAGCAGAAAAAAUAAAUAAAUAAAUAAAAAUAAACCAAGGUAGUAUAGGGACCUCUCAGCCUGUUCCCCAGUCACCUCUGGAUGACUCUACUCAUUUACUUAUUCAUUCACUCAUUCAAGAAAUAUUUAUGGAAUACUCACAGGUGGGAGGUAUUAUACUAAAUGAUGAGGAUUUGGGAGAAGACAAUCUCCACCCUAUCUCUCAGCAUGAGGGCAGAAGCUUGGGUAGGCUCUUCCUCAAAGGGCUCCAAGAAUCACCUUGGUCUUCACCUUACAGAAUCUGCUAGACACAACCACAUGCAUAUGUUUAAUAAGACUUUUAUGCCCUCCCCUCUAGCAGACUGGUAUUUUUCUUUUGUAACUCAGGACAACUACACCUAGUCCUCCCAGAAGAGGCAAAGGUUCUUUACCCACAUAAACUAGGGAACAUGGCAGACUGACACCAAACACAGUGUGGCCGCCCAGUCCCUCCAGAUAAACAUAAGGAAAGGUCAUCCAAACACAGGAAGACGGCCGCCCCCUUCCCUUUUCCUUUACCCCCUCCCCUUCCUCCCCCCUGGCUCCCUUAUCCCCAGAGGGUGGACCCAGCCUUUCCCAGAGUUUAUUCUGAGAGUUCGAGCUCCCACAGUGGAACGUGCUGCGGACAUGGGAAUACAACAGCUCGGCCAACAGGGAAAACCAAAAAUAUAAACUGAGAUACUUAAUAGAUUUCUGCUCCUCCUCCCAAAUUGCGGCAGAAAUGUCUGCUGGUAUUGCUUUUACUGAGCUCGGUAUAAGCCAGCCCUUCCUAAGAGGAGGUCUUCUGAAGUUUAUUGCAUUUGCCAGUGAACAUUUUGUACAGAGGAAAAUUAAACUCUUUCUUAGGAUUCUCAGUGCCAUUUGCUUGAUCCGCUAAACAAAUGCAACAAAUGUUAGGAAACAAAGGCCAGAAAGCCUUGUAUCUCAAACACUGGCAAUCGAGUUAAACAUGAAUACAAAUAACACUAAAACGGCAGGGGAAAAAAUUAGAAGGCUAAAUCUGCUUCAAAUUCACUGUUGGAACCCUGGACCCAUAAAUAGGAAGUCAUUUUAUCUUUUACUGUCAUAUUCUGACCCAAACAGUGGUAAGAACAAAGUUUAUGCUCUCAUCAUUUUGGAUUUUACUUUCCAUUUGAGAGGGGAAAGAAUGAAUAGUCCAGGAUUGUAUACCCCAAUGAUUAUAAACCAGCAUUUGUGAUGAAAUGUUUAGUACUAAUUUCAAAACAGACCCGUGUUUGAAAGCAAAGCAUAAUGGUGACCUUUCUCAUUAGCUGUUGCUCAAACAAAGAUAUGUUCCAGCAAUAUCCGAUGCUUCCUUCCUCCUCGGGCCUCCACCCAAUGCAAUUUAAAACACUUGUGUCACAUCCAAACUAGAGCUAAGGAUGUAAUGUGGCUGUUUCAGUAACAUUGUGUUUAUGGUUUGUUGUUACUUUCUAAGUUUUUUUUUUAAUGUUUUGUUUUCACAAAUUUAUUAUCAUGAGUUGGGUUUGCAAGAUUAACUGUGUGAGACCGUAUAGAUGAACUCGUUAUAUACAUAUUCACUCUUCUGUUUCUCCAGCUCCCUAUUUUUGUGAUGAAUAGCAUCAUAGGUUCUUAACCAUAGGACAGAGAUUUAUUUCUCAUUGCUCUUUGGUCAGUGUUUUUAUGAAACU
Molecule: long non-coding RNA, 3452 nt
Organism: Marmota monax (woodchuck)
Lineage: Eukaryota; Metazoa; Chordata; Mammalia; Rodentia; Sciuridae
Exons: 5
Source: RefSeq, a predicted model, not a curated record